RNAcentral lists this ribosomal RNA (609 nucleotides) under Paenibacillus sp. GSMTC-2017. Its description in RNAcentral is "Bacterial small subunit ribosomal RNA". It matches the Rfam family "Bacterial small subunit ribosomal RNA", at positions 1 to 589 of the family's 1533-position model. The record is from Rfam by way of RNAcentral. Lineage: Bacteria; Bacillati; Bacillota; Bacilli; Caryophanales; Paenibacillaceae.
AAUUUGGAGAGUUUGAUCCUGGCUCAGGACGAACGCUGGCGGCGUGCCUAAUACAUGCAAGUCGAGCGGGCUUGAUGAAGUGCUUGCACUUCUGAUAGUUAGCGGCGGACGGGUGAGUAACACGUAGGUAACCUGCCUAUAAGACUGGGAUAACAUUCGGAAACGAAUGCUAAUACCGGAUACACGAUUUGGUCGCAUGGCCGAAUCGGGAAAGACGGAGCAAUCUGUCACUUAUAGAUGGACCUGCGGCGCAUUAGCUAGUUGGUGAGGUAACGGCUCACCAAGGCGACGAUGCGUAGCCGACCUGAGAGGGUGAUCGGCCACACUGGGACUGAGACACGGCCCAGACUCCUACGGGAGGCAGCAGUAGGGAAUCUUCCGCAAUGGACGAAAGUCUGACGGAGCAACGCCGCGUGAGUGAUGAAGGUUUUCGGAUCGUAAAGCUCUGUUGCCAGGGAAGAACGCUUGGGAGAGUAACUGCUCUCAAGGUGACGGUACCUGAGAAGAAAGCCCCGGCUAACUACGUGCCAGCAGCCGCGGUAAUACGUAGGGGGCAAGCGUUGUCCGGAAUUAUUGGGCGUAAAGCGCGCGCAGGCGGUUAAUUAAGUC